GACUUAUAGCUCAGUGGUAGAGCAUCGGCACGGUACGUCGAAGAUUAAGGGUUCAAAUCCUGAAAAAGUCA
This 71-nucleotide transfer RNA is filed under the name Daphnia magna. It matches the Rfam family "tRNA". From Rfam's summary of the family: Transfer RNA (tRNA) molecules are approximately 80 nucleotides in length. Their secondary structure includes four short double-helical elements and three loops (D, anti-codon, and T loops). Lineage: Eukaryota; Metazoa; Arthropoda; Branchiopoda; Diplostraca; Daphniidae. The record is from Rfam by way of RNAcentral.